UGGUGCUGGGAGCUGCCGGCCGUCUCUCCCUGCUCCAUCCCAGUGCUGUGCCCCUGGCCUCCCUAAUCCACCCGGCUGCAGGAACCAGCUGCCCCAGGACCCCACUGGUGGGCAGAGAGCCUGGGUCUGUGGAAAGGAGAGAGAGGCCGUGCUGACCAGGAGCUGAGAGGGUCCCUCCCAUGACUCAGCUGGGGGUCCAGCCGGAGCGAGCCUGUGAGUCGAAGUCCUAGGGUGGCAAGGGUCAGGCGCUACCUCUCUCCUCAGCACCCCUGAUGAGCUGGGGUUGAUCCCAGGAACCAUCAUCAGCGCUCUGUGGCUUGAAUGAGGAACUGGGUCCAAAAGUCCUGGCACAGAAGCAGCGGUUCACCUGGACCAGGAUCGCGGCGUUCUCUAAACUGUGCGUGUGCUCAGAAGUGUAGUCAGCUGCCUGCUCGUGCUGGCUCAGGCUCUGAGCUCUGGGAAGACCCCAGUCCACCCAAACCAGCCCUGCUCUUUGCCCCCCGAGCUGCCCCAGGGUGUAUCUUACAUCAGCUUUAAAUAGCAUUAAAGCCGUCAUUUCAGAUUGGCUAAUGUGACUGCCUGCUUGAAAAGUCCAAGAGAACAUCUACCAAAUAGUCAAAGAGAGAAAGCCAGAAACCAUGGUUUUAAAAUUUCAAAUCUAUGCUUAGAUGAGCAGUAUGUCUUACUCACAGACCACAGCAGUCUGACUGUGUGACCGAAGACGGCCGCAUUCCUGAUGACAGCACAAGAGACGGGAACGCCGGGGGUGCAUCUAAGAAGCACGCGCGACAUUAAAACUAAAAGAAGGAAAUUGCACUGAAGGCUACACAAGCAUCCUCGCGUCAACAGAAAGGCCUGCAUCUGAU
Molecule: long non-coding RNA, 866 nt
Organism: Camelus dromedarius (Arabian camel)
Lineage: Eukaryota; Metazoa; Chordata; Mammalia; Artiodactyla; Camelidae
Exons: 3
Source: RefSeq, a predicted model, not a curated record